This 229-nucleotide ribosomal RNA is filed under the name uncultured bacterium. Its description in RNAcentral is "partial 16S ribosomal RNA". It matches the Rfam family "Bacterial small subunit ribosomal RNA", at positions 568 to 796 of the family's 1533-position model. The record is from RNAcentral.
CGCGUAGGCGGCCUGGUAAGUCAGAUGUGAAAGCCCGGGGCUUAACCCCGGAAGUGCAUUUGAUACUGUCAGGCUUGAGUAUGGGAGAAGGAAGUGGAAUUCCUGGUGUAGAGGUGAAAUUCGUAGAUAUCAGGAGGAACACCGGUGGCGAAGGCGACUUCCUGGACCAAUACUGACGCUGAGGCGCGAAGGCGUGGGGAGCAAACAGGAUUAGAUACCCUGGUAGUCC